RNAcentral lists this ribosomal RNA (499 nucleotides) under uncultured bacterium. RNAcentral describes it as "partial 16S ribosomal RNA". It matches the Rfam family "Bacterial small subunit ribosomal RNA", at positions 29 to 523 of the family's 1533-position model. The record is from RNAcentral.
AUUGAACGCUGGCGGAAUGCUUUACACAUGCAAGUCGAGCGGCAGCGCGGGGCAACCUGGCGGCGAGCGGCGAACGGGUGAGUAAUGCAUCGGAACGUGUCCAUGUCGUGGGGGAUAGCCCGGCGAAAGCCGGAUUAAUACCGCAUACGCCCGAGAGGGGAAAGUGGGGGACCGCAAGGCCUCACGCGAUUGGGUCGGCCGAUGUCCGAUUAGCUAGUUGGCGGGGUAAAGGCCCACCAAGGCGAUGAUCGGUAGCUGGUCUGAGAGGAUGAUCAGCCACACUGGGACUGAGACACGGCCCAGACUCCUACGGGAGGCAGCAGUGGGGAAUUUUGGACAAUGGGGGCAACCCUGAUCCCGCCAUUCCGCGUGAGUGAAGAAGGCCUUCGGGUUGUAAAGCUCUUUUGUCCGGAACGAAACGGAUGACGUGAAUAUCGUCGUCUACUGACGGUACCGGAAGAAUAAGCACCGGCUAACUACGUGCCAGCCGCCGCCGUAA